UACAAAGGUCCCAAGCAUUGUUCGGAUUCACUGAGCGUAAAGGGUGCGUAGGUGGUCGGGUAAGUCUGAGGUGAAAUCUCCGAGCCCAACUCGGAAACUGCCUCGGAUACUAUUCGGCUAGAGGGUUGGAAGGGGGAUUGGAAUUCUCGGUGUAGCAGUGAAAUGCGUAGAUAUCGAGAGGAACACCAGUGGCGAAGGCGAAUCCCUGGACAACUCCUGACACUGAGGCACGAAAGCUAAAGGAGCAAACAGG
This 253-nucleotide ribosomal RNA is filed under the name uncultured bacterium. Its description in RNAcentral is "partial 16S ribosomal RNA". It matches the Rfam family "Bacterial small subunit ribosomal RNA", at positions 524 to 776 of the family's 1533-position model. The record is from RNAcentral.